AGAGUUUGAUCAUGGCUCAGGAUGAACGCUAGCUACAGGCUUAACACAUGCAAGUCGGAGGGGAAACGACAUCGAAAGCUUGCUUUUGAUGGGCGUCGACCGGCGCACGGGGUGAGUAACGCGUAUCCAGCCUGCCCACCACUUGGGGAUAACCUUGCGAAAGUAAGACUAAUACCCAAUGAUAUCUCUAGAAGACAUCUGAAAGAGAUUAAAGAUUUAUCGGUGAUGGAUGGGGAUGCGUCUGAUUAGCUUGUUGGCGGGGUAACGGCCCACCAAGGCAACGAUCAGUAGGGGUUCUGAGAGGAACGGUCCCCCACAUUGGAACUGAGACACGGUACCAAACUCCUACGGGAGGCAGCA
This 360-nucleotide ribosomal RNA is filed under the name uncultured bacterium. RNAcentral describes it as "bacterial SSU rRNA". It matches the Rfam family "Bacterial small subunit ribosomal RNA", at positions 8 to 353 of the family's 1533-position model. The record is from RNAcentral.